Molecule: small nuclear RNA, 107 nt
Organism: Delphinapterus leucas (beluga whale)
Lineage: Eukaryota; Metazoa; Chordata; Mammalia; Artiodactyla; Monodontidae
Source: Ensembl
GUGCUCGCUUCAGCAGCACAUACACUAAAAUUGGAACGAUACAGAGAAGAUUAGCAUGGCCCCUGCACAAAGAUGACACGCAAAUUCGUGAAGCAUUCCAUAUUUUU